This 465-nucleotide ribosomal RNA is filed under the name uncultured bacterium. RNAcentral describes it as "partial 16S ribosomal RNA". It matches the Rfam family "Bacterial small subunit ribosomal RNA", at positions 338 to 795 of the family's 1533-position model. The record is from RNAcentral.
CCUACGGGUGGCAGCAGUAGGGAAUCUUCCACAAUGGGCGCAAGCCUGAUGGUGCAACACCGCGUGAGUGAAUAAGGGUUUCGGCUCGUAAAGCUCUGUUCUUGGAGGAGAACGUGCGUGAGAGUAACUGUUCACGCAGUGACGGUAUCAAACCUGAAAGUCACGGCUAACUACGUGCCAGCCGCCGCGGUAAUACGUCGGUGGCAAGCGUUAUCCGGAUUUUUUGGGCGUAAAGCGAGCGCAGGCGGUCGGUUAGGUCUGAUGGGAAAGCCUUCGGCUUAAACGCAGAAGUUCAGCGGAAACCGGGCGACUUGAGUGCAGAAGGGGACAGCGGAACUCCAUGUGUAGCGGUGGAAUGCGUAGAUAUAUGGAAGAACACCAGUGGCGAAGGCGGCUGUCUGGUCUGCAACUGACGCUGAGGCUCGAAAGCAUGGGUAGCGAACAGGAUUAGAUACCCCGGUAGUC